AGGUGCCAGCCAAGGCAACUCUUAAAAUAUGGAUACCUUCUCUUUUGCUGUGGAUGUGACCACAAAACAUUUCCCACUUGGUUUUCUCUCUGCUACCUUGCUCUUAGCCAGCCUAUUGGGAACAUUU
This is a small nucleolar RNA of Colobus angolensis palliatus, 127 nucleotides long. NCBI's taxonomy places the organism in Eukaryota, Metazoa, Chordata, Mammalia, Primates, Cercopithecidae. The record is from Ensembl.